This 2234-nucleotide ribosomal RNA is filed under the name Acanthocystis sp. NZ2. RNAcentral's name for it is "partial 18S ribosomal RNA". It matches the Rfam family "Eukaryotic small subunit ribosomal RNA", at positions 25 to 1626 of the family's 1831-position model. The record is from RNAcentral. Lineage: Eukaryota; Centroplasthelida; Acanthocystida; Acanthocystidae.
CAUAUGCUUGUCUCAAAGAUUAAGCCAUGCAUGUCUAAGAAUAAGCCUUUGAAUGGCGAAUCUGCGAAUGGCUCAUUAAAUCAGUUAUUGUUUAUUUGAUGUGUGUGAAAAUGUAACUCGUUUACUUUUUACUACUGGAUAACCGUAGUAAUUCUAGAGCUAAUACAUGUAACAAUUUUAAAGCCUUUAACCUUUAUUGUGUUGGGGGCUGCAUUUAUUAGAUUCAAAACCAAUCACUCUUUCGGGAGUCUCGAUUUAUAGUGAAUCAUGAUAACUAAGCAAAUCGAAAUUUAAAGGGGUUUUAUUUUUUUUUGGAUGCAAGUUCAUUAAAUUUAUAAAGUCCUUUCGAUGCUUCAUUCAAAUUUCUGCCCUAUCAGCUUUCGAUGGUAGGAUAUUGGCCUACCAUGGCGAUAACGGGUAACGGGGAAUCAGGGUUCGAUUCCGGAGAGGGAGCUUGAGAAAUGCCUACCACAUCCAAGGAUGGCAGCAGGCGCGCAAAUUACCCAAUCCCAAUACGGGGAGGUAGUGACAAUAAAUAACAAUGUUGGAAUAUUUUAAAAAUUCCAACAGUUGGAAUGAGAGUAAUUUAGACCUCUUCUCGAGGAACCAUUGGAGGGCAAGUCUGGUGCCAGCAGCCGCGGUAAUUCCAGCUCCAAUAGCGUAUGUUAAAGUUGUUGCAGUUAAAAAGCUCGUAGUCUAAAUUGCAAAGUUUUUAAAUGGAAAUGGUGUCUCUUUCUUUGGCGUUAUUUUGACUUACUGAGAAUUAUACUUUUUUCAUUAACUUUCGGGUUAAUGAUUAUAAGUACUCAGUGUAGUCGCGCUACUGAAUUAGACAUCCUUUGCUUGUAGUUUGAAGUACUUUAUCAUUUGAGGGACUUACUGUUCUCUCAAGUGGUAAUUCAAGGACUUCAAUAGUUUACCUUGAGAAAACUAGAGUGUUCAAAGCAAGCGAAUUAAAAAUUCUCUCGCAACUGAAUACAUUAGCAUGGGAUAAUAGAAUAGGACAUUUCGGGAGGUUAGAUAACUUUUGAAGUUUUCGGAUUUCAAAUUUUGUCUUUCCUCUUUUGGUCCUAUUAUGUUUUUGAUUGGUGGUUCAAGGACCAAUGUAAUGAUUAAUAGGAACGGUUGGGGACAUUCAUAUUGCAUGGCUAGAGGUGAAAUUCUUGGAUUCAUGCAAGAUGAACUGCUGCGAAAGCGUUUGUCAAAGACGUUUUCAUUGAUCAAGAACGAAAGUUAGGGGAGCAAAGACGAUCAGAUACCGUCGUAGUCCUAACUAUAAACGAUGCCGACUAGGGAUCGGUGGGCGUUAAUAUAAAAUUGUUCAGGUUAAUUCAUUUUUUUAUUUUGGUUUUUUUACCAAUUUUAAAAUUUUGAAUCCUGAACAAGAAAUGACCCCAUCGGCACCUCCAAUUUGAUUACUUCUCAAUGGGAAACCAAAGUUUUUGGGUUCCGGGGGGAGUAUGGUCGCAAGGCUGAAACUUAAAGGAAUUGACGGAAGGGCACCACCAGGAGUGGAGUUUGCGGCUUAAUUUGACUCAACAGCGGGAAAACUCACCAGGCCCAGACAUGGUUAGGAUUGACAGAUUGAGAGCUCUUUCUUGAUUCCAUGAAAGGUGGCGCAUGGCCGUUCUUAGUUGGUGGAGUGAUUUGUCUGGUUAAUUCCGUUAACGAACGAGACCUUGGCCUGCUAACUAGGGGGGGUUAUCGUUUGGUUGAGUUCAUAAGACAAGUAUUUUUUCCUUGCAUUUCGGUGUUUUGGAAAAAGUAUUUGUGUUUGUGACUUUUCCAUAUUUUGCGAUAGCACCUAAGAUUUACAAAAUCUUUCGACCCUUUAUUGGACUUCUGGGAGGAGAAGAGGAUACUUGCGUCUUAGUCUUCACGGAUUAGGAUGAAAAGGCCUUUUCACCAAUCCUUCUGGUUGAUUGGUAGAGGAAAAAUCCUUCUUAGAGGGACUAUUUGCGUUUUUACAAUUAGCAAAUGGAAGCGCGAGGCAAUAACAGGUCUGUGAUGCCCUUAGAUGUCCUGGGCUGCACGCGUACUACACUGACGAAUUCAACAAGUGGUUUAUACUUUGGUAGUAAAAAUGGAUUUUUUAGUUCUUCACGGGACUAGAGAGUUACUUGAUUAUCAAAAACCUUGGCAGAAAUGUCUGGGUAAUCUCUUUAAAGUUCGUCGUGCUAGGGAUAGAUGAUUGUAAUUAUUCGUCUUCAACGAGGAAAUCCUAGUAAGUGUGA